GUACGUAGGGGGCGAGCGUUGUCCGGAAUGAUUGGGCGUAAAGGGCGCGUAGGCGGCGCGGUAAGUCUGGAGUGAAAGUCCUGCUUUCAAGGUGGGAAUUGCUUUGGAUACUGCCGCGCUUGAGUGCAGGAGAGGUUAUCGGAAUUCCCGGUGUAGCGGUGAAAUGCGUAGAGAUCGGGAGGAACACCAGUGGCGAAGGCGGGUAACUGGACUGCAACUGACGCUGAGGCGCGAAAGUGUGGGGAGCAAACAGGAUUAGAUACCCUGGUAGUCCACACUGUAAACGAUGAAUGCUAGGUGUAAGAGGUAUCGACCCCUUUUGUGCCGGAGUCAACACAAUAAGCAUUCCGCCUGGGGAGUACGGCCGCAAGGUUGAAACUCAAAUGAAUUGGCGGGG
RNAcentral lists this ribosomal RNA (397 nucleotides) under uncultured bacterium. RNAcentral describes it as "partial 16S ribosomal RNA". It matches the Rfam family "Bacterial small subunit ribosomal RNA", at positions 523 to 918 of the family's 1533-position model. The record is from RNAcentral.